RNAcentral lists this ribosomal RNA (388 nucleotides) under uncultured bacterium. RNAcentral's name for it is "partial 16S ribosomal RNA". It matches the Rfam family "Bacterial small subunit ribosomal RNA", at positions 523 to 918 of the family's 1533-position model. The record is from RNAcentral.
AUACGUAGGUGACAAGCGUUAUCCGGAAUUAUUGGGCGUAAAGAGUGAGCAGGCGGUUAAUUAAGUCUGAGGUUAAAGCGUGGGGCUCAACCCCAUAAAGCCUUGGAAACUGAUUGACUAGAGUACGGGAGAAGUGAAGGGAACUCCAUGUGUAGCGGUGAAAUGCGUAGAUAUAUGGAAGAACACCAGUGGCGAAGGCGCUUCACUAGCCCGAAACUGACGCUCAGUCACGAAAGCGUGGGUAGCAAAUAGGAUUAGAUACCCUAGUAGUCCACGCUGUAAACGAUGACAACUAAAUAUUGCCGCGAGGCAGUGUUGAAGCUAACGCAUUAAGUUGUCCGCCUGGGGAGUACGGUCGCAAGACUGAAACUCAAAGGAAUUGACGGGG